AUAAUUUACUAAGAUUUUCAAUGGGAUAGAUUCCCAAGAUGUAUGUACCAAAAAACAAAAAAACAAAAAACAGUGCAAAAUGAAGAAAGAAGCUGCCUCCAGCGAUUUCAUCUUGGUACAACAUGCUACAUCCUACAUAUUUCAUCACUUCACAGGGAAAGAAGACUUGAUGUACAGUUUCUAAGCAAAUUCUUAGGUUUGAGUACAAGCUUGUCACAAAAUGCUUUGAUAUUCUGGGCAAGCCAUUUAACUGCAAAAUCUGUUUUCUGAUCUGCAAUGAUUAUGAAAGGAUUACUUAUUUUACAAGGUUAUCAAUAUUAAAUGAGAAUAUUUUGGAAAAAUCUGUAAAACACAAUUUAUCUUGCCAGCAAUAUUUCCAAAACCAUUCAAAUCUUCUCUUUUCACGUAAGAUGACCAAAGGGAAGUACAUGGGAAGACUCAGGCGGCCAAGUUUCAUUGCUAAACAGCUGUUCAGUGUCAAAAUGAUUAGGAUCACUCCCCAUGCUCCUGGGCAACUAUAGGAAUCCAGUUCUAAGAAAUAAAGUAAUGUCUACCACUGAAGAAAAUUUGUAUUGAAAAGCAAACUGAAAGCUUCUGUUGAUUAAAUAAUUCCUGUAAAAUACUGAAUACACUACUGCUGUGUGGUAUUAGCUGCAGGCCUAGCCAAAGGCUAAAGUUAAUUCAAAACGAGUUUAAGAAUCAAAUAAUUCUAAUUAGUAGUUACUUUCUUUAAUGUCUGAAAUCACCAAAAAAGCAUUGAGGGCACAAUCACUCCUUGUCACAUUAACCCUGCAAUAGGCUGUUGAAAAUUAUUUAUAUAGCCUUGUAUGUUACUAACAUAAUUUGUGUGCUAUUACUGCUUUAAACAGCCAAAUUCUGUUUUGGUACUUACAUUUCCAAAUCUAUGAGACAUAGGCUGCAUCUUCAGCAAAGAAGAAUUCAGUACAUUAACAUGUUACAGAGAGCUUUAAAAAGCUUGGCCAUAUCACACUUACAUAGCAAAGGAUAAAGUUAGUAUGAGUAAACUUCACAACUAAGGCAGUUUACUCGAAAUGAUGUUACGAGGCAAAAAAUAGGCCAAAUUUUUCUUCCGACGUUAUUUCAAGUGUUAGUGCUUUCACACACACAUUUUCCGGUCUAAAGGUUCCGGACAGAUUCCAUCUGGAGAAAUGACAGGCCUGACAUGCAGAUCCAGCCCUUCCAUCUGCCCUGAGUCUGUGAACAGCUUCCACGCGACUCCAUCACUAAAUUAUGAGUCCCAAGCAGAUUCCUCCCCUCACUGCGGCCCUAGAUAACAAGCUCGCUCAACAAUGCAGUCUCGAUAACUCCGCUACAAGGAGGGAGAAAAGAGGCCACGUGAAACAUUUGCAAAAGAAAGCGUGAAAACAGGAGUCAAAUAAGAAAACAGUUUGGAAGAGGCGCUGGGAGCUGCGGUCUCUUUAAAACCCUCCCUCACUCCCGUGGCGGGUAAAGAGGGAAGUACACGUGGCGGAAACGCACCCCGGGACCAGCGCGGGCUUGGUGAAGCCGAAGGACUGUGCUCCGCGCCCUCCGGAUACGCGGCUCUAUCUGUGGGCGGCCGCGGGCAGGAUUUAGUGGCAGUAGUGGGAACCAAAACAAAUCUCUUUAUUUGGGAACAAGUAACACAGGUGAAAGAAGUGGUCCCAGAUCCCAAUUCAGAGAAUCCUGUUGGUCACAGUCUAAAACCUGGUGACUGGAUACACUGGAUGUCAUUAGGGAAAGACAAUCCUCCAGUCACAUUAAAAGGGACCUUACCAAGUGCUGCUCCUAACCACUGACACUGUUGCCAAACUAGAAGGUAUGGGGCCUUGGGUGCACAUCUCAUAGCCCAAGAAGGCUGCACUUGAGCCCUGGUCCCGUGCAGAUGGAGACCUCUGAAACAAAUAGCUGAGAAAAGGAAGAAGCUGACAUCAAGGUUCCUACUUCCCAGGGAAGGGACAAAUGCAGAUGAGGCUAUGAUCAGGAACUUCUUAAUUGUUGAAGUUAGUGCAGAAUCUGCUGCUGAGGCAAUAGCUGCCCAACAAAGAUCGUUAGACUCUCUAGUCGAAGUUGUUCUUGCUCUGAUAUGGCUCCCCAAGUACAUUCUAAUUAACGUAAUAAUCUCCCUAGACACUUGUAUCUUCUCAAAAGCUUUAAAUGCACGUAAGCAGCCAGUAACUACCAAGCAGAUGAUCUCUCUGUGACUGGAACUUCACCAAACUGAAGAGAAUGACAGACACAGGAUCGUGAACUAUAGUUAGAAUAUCACAGAAAUUAAGCAAAACGUGACCCAGUGACACUACACGGAAGGAACGACAAAAGCUGCAAAACUAUAGAGCAGUAGCUAAGAGCAGCACUAACACCUUAAAUUUUUAUUUAAGAUGUUACUCAGAGGUAAGCUGAAAGUAAUCAAAAAGGGGAGAUAUUGUUAAACAACACAAGCCCAAGAUGGGGUCACUUCUCCUAGGUCAUCUCACCAAACUGGGGCUUACUGCCCAAUCUGAUUGCAGCUUUAGUAUCUCCCAGGAGUGGAAAUUUAAACCAAUCAAGUCUAGAUUUACCUAAUCACUAGUGAAGUAAUCUGCAUAAGACCCCGUUGCUCUUUCUCCUAAGGGAGGGUGACAAUUCCUGAAACAAUCCCAUAUCUCUUCUUUUGCUAGUAACUUUUUUGGCCCUACCCACCUGUCUAUAAACACUUUCCACUUUGUACAACUACUGGGAUUGUACCUCAAUUUGAUAGAUAGGAUGCUGCUUUAUUCAUGAAUGGCUUAAUAAAGCCAAUUACAUCUUCAAAUUUA
This is a long non-coding RNA of Manis pentadactyla (Chinese pangolin), 2798 nucleotides long. RefSeq lists it as uncharacterized. The transcript is spliced from 4 exons. The record is from RefSeq and is a predicted model, not a curated record. NCBI's taxonomy places the organism in Eukaryota, Metazoa, Chordata, Mammalia, Pholidota, Manidae.